GUGGGGAAUCUUCCGCAAUGGACGAAAGUCUGACGGAGCGACGCCGCGUGAGUGAAGAAGGCCUUCGGGUCGUAAAGCUCUGUCAUCAGGGACGAAUGGCCGGUGGAGUGGAAAGCCACCGGAUUGACGGUACCUGAGAAGGAAGCCACGGCUAACUACGUGCCAGCAGCCGCGGUAAUACGUAGGUGGCAAGCGUUGUCCGGAAUUAUUGGGCGUAAAGCGCGCGCAGGUGGGAUCUUAAGUCCAUUUUGAAAGUUCGGAGCUCAACUCCGUGAUGGGAUGGAAACUGGGAUUCUUGAGUACCGGAGAGGAAAGCGGAAUUCCCCGUGUAGCGGUGAAAUGCGUAGAUAUGGGGAGGAACACCAGUGGCGAAGGCGGCUUUCUGGACGGUGUCUGACACUGAGGCGCGAAAGCUAGGGGAGCGAACGGGAUUAGAUACCCUUGUAGUCC
Molecule: ribosomal RNA, 450 nt
Filed under: uncultured bacterium
Lineage: Bacteria
Description: partial 16S ribosomal RNA
Rfam family: Bacterial small subunit ribosomal RNA
Source: RNAcentral